UGGAAUUUUUGGGCAAACUGGGCUCAGACAAACAAAAUAAUCUCUUGAAUGAUGGGCUCAACCUGAACACAUCAGAUAAAAAAAGGGCAAGAAACCCUAAAAUCUUGAUUUUUAGGUUGACAAAAUUUCAUACUAACAUUUUUUCUUAUUUCCUGAAAAUAUCAAAAUUCAAAACAAUAAAUAUGAAACAACCAGGUGUUCAACGCGUUUCUCACUUUCAUCCUCUUGAACCAGAAUAGCAACCACAACAAUGAGCAAACCCUAGUCUUCUAAGAUCCAACCUCUUUACCCUCGAUCCGCCGCGCAACCACCUCUUUCCUGCCGCACGUCGCCCUCACCGUCGCUGGAGUCCUUUGCACGCUGUCGUCGCUACAAGUCCUCCGCACGCCGUCGUCGCUGGAGCAGAUGGUUGUGCGUUGAAGGUGUUGGAAGCUCACUAGCUUUAUUCCUUCGAUUUGGAUCUGAAUGAAGGGCACUGGACCUGAUACGUGGCAAAUACUUUUUGAUGCUGAUGGAUUCUGCCUUAGAGGGUCACUUUUCAAAAGAUGAUGGAACUGAGUUGGUUCGUAACUUCUCUAUCAGUCUUACAUUCUAUGCUCCAGAACAAUUUUUGCCCCAUCACUUUUUCCAUAAUGUUGAAGUUAAAAGUCUCUUCCUAAAGCAAUUUUAUUACUAGAUCAAAAAUAAAGGAACUUUUAAAGCAUAGAGAUCAUGUCUAUGUGAUAGGCCUUUCACAUGACAAAGAAGAUGUGGUAGGGGAAGUUGAAACAUCAGAUAGUAUACCAUGUUUAUUCUUAUCAUUAACAUUAGAUGAUUCAGUGAAUAAGAUACAUUAGUCGACUCUUUCUUCAACAACCAAACAUGACAUUGGUCCAAUAGUAACACCAUUGUUAUCCUUUAUUCUGACCAAA
This is a long non-coding RNA of Lotus japonicus, 911 nucleotides long. RefSeq lists it as uncharacterized. The transcript has 2 exons. The record is from RefSeq and is a predicted model, not a curated record. Lineage: Eukaryota; Viridiplantae; Streptophyta; Magnoliopsida; Fabales; Fabaceae.